This is a long non-coding RNA of Rhagoletis zephyria (snowberry fruit fly), 1300 nucleotides long. RefSeq lists it as uncharacterized. NCBI's taxonomy places the organism in Eukaryota, Metazoa, Arthropoda, Insecta, Diptera, Tephritidae. The record is from RefSeq and is a predicted model, not a curated record.
AGAGUCAGUCUGCGGGAGCAUUUAGUAGCAGCAGAGCAGCCACAAGAAGUACAGCUAAAGCAAACACGUCGUAACCGAUGGUGAAUUCUGGUACAAGGGCGAAACGAGGGGACAGACACGUUGGAUGCAUAGAGUAUAAAAAGGGAAGAGAGAAACAAAUUGCGGAAACGAAAGCUAAACUUGGCAGAGAGAUGUGCGCAGAGGUGCCCUUUGGAAAAGUGAAACUGGUUACAAAAAUAAUGGGAGUACGCAAAUACAUACGUACCAACAUAAAUCGUCCGUUUUGGUAUGGAACGCCCCAUAUACAUAAGUAUACAUAUGUAUCAAACGCGAAAGGAGCAUUUAAAUAAUGGCUCGCAGAUUAAAUGUCAACGUGCUGUGAAAAUAAUAAAGUGAAAAUGCGCACCAACAAAAAAAUCGACUACAUCAAUAAAGUACAAAUUUCCAUUUAAUUUACUACGAGUCAAAUACAGUGACAAGUUUCAAAGAAUACUAGUAAAAAGCCUGGAAGUACUAUAUCCUGGCGUUCACAAAAUCCUUUUGGAACAUUUAAUACUUUUUACUGGAGUAACUAAAAAUUUACAUUAAUAAAUUCUACUUAGUCGAGAACUACAAUAAAAACCGAAGAAAAGAUCUAGUUUUUUAGGUACCGGUUAGCUUUAUGUAUGAACAUACAUAUGUAUGUAUGUAUGUAUGUAUUUCCACUGCUUAAGAUUUGGUCAGCAAACUCACACCCACCUGUAGACGUCAACAACAGCAAUGAACGUGCAGGAUUUUGCGAGACAUGCUCAGGAAAUUGCAAUAAAUUAGUGACAAAAGUAACAGCGGCAGCAGUAGCAGAAAGAAGCGAAAGGGAUAGCGGAAAUGAUGUGAAUUCGUUUAUUUAACUGAUUUACUACAUGCUCAAUUACCGAGUAGUACACUUAAGCUACCUCAAACGUGGCAGAAAUAGAAAAACAAAUUUUGAAGCGCACAAAGUUUUGCUCGAUCUAAGUUGAAAAUCGCAUGCGAUAAAAUUUAUAAUCAGCUGCAAAAAGAUCUAUGUUUGUAAAUAAAUCAAAAUAAUUUUUAAAGCGAAACAAAAUCAUUCGAAAAUUCGCAGACCAAAUGAAAGUGUAACAUUAAAAAUAAAGAAGAACACUUAAAAUUAAUACCAAAAAUUGCAAAAACUCAGUUUAUUAAGUAAAAGAAAACCAAUAAAGGCAAAAAAAGGUUUAAGAAGUGACAAACAAACAAAAGGCCAAACACAUAUAACAGCAUUAACUGCAGACUUGCCAUGAAAUAAAAAUAUAAAAACAAA